RNAcentral lists this ribosomal RNA (393 nucleotides) under uncultured bacterium. RNAcentral's name for it is "bacterial SSU rRNA". It matches the Rfam family "Bacterial small subunit ribosomal RNA", at positions 28 to 424 of the family's 1533-position model. The record is from RNAcentral.
GACGAACGCUGGCGGCGUGCUUAACACAUGCAAGUCGAGCGGUAAGGCCCCUUUGGGGGUACACGAGCGGCGAACGGGUGAGUAACACGUGGGUGACCUGCCCUCAGCUCUGGGAUAAGCCUGGGAAACUGGGUCUAAUACCGGAUAUGACUCCAUGACGCAUGUUGUGGGGUGGAAAGCCUUGUGCGGCUGGGGAUGGGCCCGCGGCCUAUCAGCUUGUUGGUGGGGUGAUGGCCUACCAAGGCGACGACGGGUAGCCGGCCUGAGAGGGCGACCGGCCACACUGGGACUGAGACACGGCCCAGACUCCUACGGGAGGCAGCAGUGGGGAAUCUUGCGCAAUGGGCGAAAGCCUGACGCAGCGACGCCGCGUGAGGGAUGACGGCCUCGGUU